CCGCUUAGACGGGCUUUGUGGGCUAAUGCCAGCUGUUCUACAGAUUCUGGAUCGCUGGCAAAGCCAAUGCGAGUGUACAGUGUGGUGAUGUUUGGUACUUUAAGCCAGUCCAUGUAUUCACAGAUCACUGGGAAGUGAGUGAAAGGCAUGGCUUGGUACAGGACCAUGUAUGCGCCACCAAACAGAGCCAACAAGGCAUUGUCGGCAAC
RNAcentral lists this long non-coding RNA (209 nucleotides) under Volvox carteri. Its description in RNAcentral is "long non-coding RNA (VCAR_LNC003826)". The record is from RNAcentral. Lineage: Eukaryota; Viridiplantae; Chlorophyta; Chlorophyceae; Chlamydomonadales; Volvocaceae.